AACGCGAAGAACCUUACCUGGGCUCGAACGGCUGGUCAACGGCGGUGGAAACACCGCUACCCCGCAAGGGGGUCCAGUCGAGGUGCUGCAUGGCUGUCGUCAGCUCGUGUCGUGAGAUGUUGGGUUAAGUCCCGCAACGAGCGCAACCCUUGUCCUGUGUUGCCAUACCGAAAGGUGGAACUCGCAGGAGACCGCCAGCGAUAAGCUGGAGGAAGGUGGGGAUGACGUCAAGUCCUCAUGGCCUUUAUGUCCAGGGCUACACACGUGCUACAAUGGACGGUACAAAGGGUCGCUAACCCGCGAGGGGGAGCCAAUCCCAAAAAACCGUUCUCAGUUCGGAUUGCAGGCUGCAACCCGCCUGCAUGAAGCUGGAAUCGCUAGUAAUGGCAGAUCAGCACGCUGCCGUGAAUACGUUCCCGGGCCUUGUACACACCGUAGAGAC
RNAcentral lists this ribosomal RNA (442 nucleotides) under uncultured bacterium. RNAcentral's name for it is "bacterial SSU rRNA". It matches the Rfam family "Bacterial small subunit ribosomal RNA", at positions 958 to 1400 of the family's 1533-position model. The record is from RNAcentral.